ACCCUAGCAGCAGACUUCUGUUUGAGAUACCAGGAAGGACCAACCGAGCAAUGGCUCUACGUUUACUCGGGAGGAAGCUGAUGAUAGUGAAGCCACAAAAACUAGGGUUUUGUUUCAGUGACAGCUAUCGCACAGCCGUUCCGGCCGUGAGAACACUUGCAAGAAUCGUAAAACCCAAAAGCUGGCCCGAGAUCCAAUUGGAAGAGAAAAAUCGCCAAUUGAAGAAAGAGAAGGAAGACAACCGCCAGUUGGAGGAA
Long non-coding RNA from Rhododendron vialii, 257 nucleotides. RefSeq lists it as uncharacterized. The record is from RefSeq and is a predicted model, not a curated record. The transcript has 3 exons. NCBI's taxonomy places the organism in Eukaryota, Viridiplantae, Streptophyta, Magnoliopsida, Ericales, Ericaceae.